GACGAACGCUGGCGGCGUGCCUAACACAUGCAAGUCGAACGAGAAACCGGUGCUUGCACCGGUGGACAGUGGCGAACGGGUGAGUAACACGUGAGAAACCUGCCCCGGAGACCGGGACAACCAUUGGAAACGAUGGCUAAUACCGGAUGCCCUCAGCUGGCCGCAUGGCCUACUGAGGAAAUGCUCUGGCGCUCUGGGAGGGUCUCGCGGCCUAUCAGCUAGUUGGCGGGUAACGGCCUACCAAGGCAUCGACGGGUAGCUGGUCUGAGAGGACGAUCAGCCACACUGGGACUGAGACACGGCCCAGACUUCUACGGAAGGCAGCAGUGGGGAAUAUUGCGCAAUGGGCGAAAGCCUGACGCAGCAACGCCGCGUGAGGGAUGACAGCUUUCGGGUUGUAAACCUCUUUCAGUGAUGACGAAAAUGACGGUAAUCACAGAAGAAGGUCCGGCCAACUACGUG
RNAcentral lists this ribosomal RNA (462 nucleotides) under uncultured bacterium. RNAcentral describes it as "bacterial SSU rRNA". It matches the Rfam family "Bacterial small subunit ribosomal RNA", at positions 28 to 507 of the family's 1533-position model. The record is from RNAcentral.